RNAcentral lists this ribosomal RNA (401 nucleotides) under uncultured bacterium. Its description in RNAcentral is "bacterial SSU rRNA". It matches the Rfam family "Bacterial small subunit ribosomal RNA", at positions 356 to 773 of the family's 1533-position model. The record is from RNAcentral.
GGGGAAUAUUGCGCAAUGGGCGAAAGCCUGACGCAGCAACGCCGCGUGCGGGAUGAAGGCCUUCGGGUUGUAAACCGCUUUCGGCAGGGACGAAAUUGACGGUACCUGCAGAAGAAGCCCCGGCCAACUACGUGCCAGCAGCCGCGGUAACACGUAGGGGGCGAGCGUUGUCCGGAUUUAUUGGGCGUAAAGAGCUCGUAGGCGGCUCGGUAAGUCGGCUGUGAAAGCUCCAGGCUCAACCUGGAGAGGCCAGUCGAUACUGCUGUGGCUAGAGUCCGGUAGGGGAGUGUGGAAUUCCUGGUGUAGCGGUGGAAUGCGCAGAUAUCAGGAGGAACACCAAUGGCGAAGGCAGCACUCUGGGCCGGUACUGACGCUGAGGAGCGAAAGCGUGGGUAGCAAAC